CUUUCUGUCGAAAAUAGAAGAUCUCAGAGUUGAACCUGAUGAAAUCAUGAUUUCCUUUGACGUCGUUUCCUUAUUCACUUCUAUUCCUCUUGACACAGCAAGACAAAUAACCAGAAAACUACUUACUAACAAUACCCCAUGGCAAUCACACGCACAACUUAAUAUACAAGACAUUCUCGAUUUACUUGACCUGUCUUUCAACUAAAUUCUGCUUUCAAAACAAUUACUACAGACAAAUCUCCGGCCCUCCAAUGGGGUCACCUCUUUCCAGUUUCCUUGCUGAAGCAGUGAUGCAAGACCUGGACAAUAAAGCUGUGACAAAUAACAAUGACAUCAAAACAUUGGACAGGU
Molecule: non-coding RNA, 351 nt
Organism: Paramuricea clavata
Lineage: Eukaryota; Metazoa; Cnidaria; Anthozoa; Malacalcyonacea; Plexauridae
Source: the annotation of a GenBank genome assembly